GACGAACGCUGGCGGCGCGCCUAACACAUGCAAGUCGAACGGUGAAGCGGAGCUUGCUCCUCGGAACAGUGGCGGACGGGUGAGUAACACGUGAGCAACCUGGCUCUAAGAGGGGGACAACAGUUGGAAACGACUGCUAAUACCGCAUGACGUAUCGGGAUGGCAUCUUCCUGAUACCAAAGAUUUUAUCGCUUAGAGAUGGGCUCGCGUCUGAUUAGAUAGUUGGCGGGGUAACGGCCCACCAAGUCGACGAUCAGUAGCCGGACUGAGAGGUUGAACGGCCACAUUGGGACUGAGACACGGCCCAGACUCCUACGGGAGGCAGCAGUGGGGGAUAUUGGACAAUGGGGGCAACCCUGAUCCAGCGACGCCGCGUGAGGGAAGAAGGUUUUCGGAUUGUAAACCUCUGUUGACGGAGAAAAAAAUGAUGGUAUCCGUUUAGAAAGCCACGGCUAACUACGUG
Molecule: ribosomal RNA, 463 nt
Filed under: uncultured bacterium
Lineage: Bacteria
Description: partial 16S ribosomal RNA
Rfam family: Bacterial small subunit ribosomal RNA
Source: RNAcentral